UUUACGCUUAGUCCUCUGCCUUACAAGCAGAGGGUCAGCGGUUCGAGCCCGUUAACUUCCACCA
This 64-nucleotide transfer RNA is filed under the name Caudoviricetes sp. RNAcentral describes it as "tRNA-Val". Lineage: Duplodnaviria; Heunggongvirae; Uroviricota; Caudoviricetes. The record is from RNAcentral.